AUUUACUUCCCUCCCGGGGAGGACAGCAGAAAAGAGGCCCCAGCCGCUGCCCACGCCUGCCCACGCCUGCCCACAGCCUUGGUGUUCCUGAUCCAGCACGUUGCCAUCAUCCUCGCCCCAGAUACCAGCCAAGGAGGCUGGAAGGCCAACCAAGCUCCAACCACUGGGCGUCCCAUCGCAGCGUGGCUUUACUGCUAACGUUGGCAUUGCUGUUUGUGCCAGGGGUUCUGUUCAAAACCAAGCUCUUAGAAGAAUUUGGAGGAAAUUAUGACUGCAACCAUGUCUUUAAGCAGCUAACCCUGGAGAGAGAAUGGACCAAGCUAAACAUUAACCAUUGCUGCUGGUAGGCCUCUGACAGCACAAGGUUGUGAGCCUGUCUUUCAGAAACCAGCUAGCUGGGUUCAAAACCAAGCCCAUCAUGUAGAAGUUAUGUGACCUUGAAGAAGUUAAUUAGACUCUCUGAACCUUUGGUUCUUUAUCCACCAAUAAAAAUAAUCUCACCUACCUCCCAGGGUUGUAGGUCCAAGUGUAUAAUGUACAAAUGAAUAAAUUAAGACAGUCUCACUCCUGUUGUCGUUCCCUUGUCAUUGAAAAGACACUGAGUACAAAUGGAUAGAUGCUAUCCAAAGAGGACACGUUCAGUGCCUGGAUCAUGGCACUUUGCCCCUCUCCAUGGUCUGAAGCACUAAUGGCUGGAAUCUAACCUGGAAGGUUGGUUACCCUUGUUGAUGCUGUAGCAGGAAAGUCAGAAUAUAGCCAAUGCUAUUGUAUUUUUUAUUUAAAAAAAAUUAAAUAAAAUAGUGAUCCAUUGCAUAUAAAACUGAACUGGAGUCCAUAGUUUACGGUGGGGAAGGCUCAGAAGAUAGAGGCAAGAAUGUAGCUGCAGCAUUUUCUUUUUCUUCAUAUCUAGGAGGCAAUUCAGAUGGAAGAUGUGGAGUGUGUGAGGCCUCAGAAGACGAAUUCAUCCCAGAAAUGGUAUAUAUAGAUUCACAGUCUCUUUCAGAGGCUGCACCCUCUGAAGUUGGGGUCCUGCUAAAGAGAAGGAGAGAGAACAUGAAGGGGAGGGGAUGAAAACAGUGACACCCCUUUAGUACUAGGUUCUUUUCAAAUGUUUGAUUACAUGCACUUAAGAGUAUUUGCAAGAAUCUGAGGAGUAAUUUCUCCCUCACUCUACUUUUCAUAGAUUUGUUUUGAUUUCUUACCUCUUCCUUUUCCUAGAGCUGAGUGUAACAUUAAGACAGUCUCACUCCUGCUGUCAUUCCCUUUGUCAUUGAAAAGACAUUGAAAACAAAUUUACAGACACCAUCCAAAGAGAACAUAGACACAUA
RNAcentral lists this long non-coding RNA (1328 nucleotides) under Pan troglodytes (chimpanzee). RNAcentral describes it as "long non-coding RNA NONPTRT013542". Lineage: Eukaryota; Metazoa; Chordata; Mammalia; Primates; Hominidae. The record is from RNAcentral.